CAUUUUUUAACUUCCAAUGCGGCUGUGGAGAGUGUACCAUCUUGGGUCAUGUCACUGGCAGAGAUAAGUGUUUAAGCUCCAAGCCACCUCAAAUUAAAAGAUGCACUUGUGAUACUGCUUGUAGUGAUACAGUAUCACCGACAGAAAUUUCUGUAAGCUUCUUCAUGAAAGCCCUAAAUAAAGAAACUCGCAAAAUCCAUUCGAAAUUUUGUAGCUUACUUACAAACACGAUUAUAAAUCUUGAAAAACAAGAACAAUAUGAUCUCACGCAAUACGUUCAGAAGUUGUUAACACCACAAGGUUCGUAUUUUAGCCAAAUUUAUCGUAGCCCUUCUGAACAGAUUUUGCUCUGUGAUGCUAUCAGCUUUAAUGAUUUAAUUGAGUUUCUACAGAAUAAUUUCUGCUCUUGGUUCAAUUACUCACGAAUAUCCGAAAUACGAGAAGAAUUUCUUUUCCCAUAUGAGGACGAUGAAGCAUUACACAAAUAUGAGUGUUUGUUUCAGCAAUAAUUAUGUUAAUCGACGAUGUUUUCUAUUUGUUGAUGACUUUGAAUGACCAAGAAUUGAAUUGCCACCUCAAAUUAAAAGAUGCACUCGUGAUACUCCUUAUAGCGGUACAGUAUCAGCCACGGAAAUCUCAUAUAGUAUGUUCAUGACAGCCCUGCGUAAAGAAACAAAAUAUAUGCACACGAAGUUUUGUAGCUUACUCAAAAACACGAUUACGAAUCUGGAAGCAAAGUAUGAUGUUCCUGAAAUAAAGCAGUUCGUCCAGAUGCUUUUCACACCACAAGAAUCGCAUUACAACGCAAUUUAUCGUAGACCUUCUGAGCAGAUUCUCUUCCGUGAUGUUACCAGCUUUAGCGAAUUAUCUGACUUCCUACAAAAUAAUGUCUGCUCUUGGUUUAAUUAUUCACUCAUUUCCACAAUAAAAGAAGAAUUUCUUUUCCCAGUGAAGGAAAAUGAUCCAAGCUUUACAGAGAUACAAGGAUUGGUUUCAGCAAUAUGUUAAUCGACAAUGUUUUCUAUUUGUUGAUGACUUUGGCCCUCAGCCGUCUCACAUUCAAUCAGUGGAGAUAACAUGUAAGGUUGAUGUUGAUUUUCAUACAAUCACCUACGAUCAAAUUCAAGAAUUGAAGUUAGUAUUUAUAGAAUGCUGGGAACAAGAACUACCACACCAAGUUCUGAAUUUGAAGCAUGUUCGAGAAGGCUGUACAGAGCUGGUGUUUCGAGUUCCAGCUUAUUUUAGUCAUUUUUACAGCCAAUUGAGUCCUAAACAGAUGCAGGACCUGAAAGAAAAUGCAUUCAUUGAAGUCAAAAUUGGUCAACAAGUAUUACUGAAGGAAGAAGUUAAUUCAACAAAGAAGCUGCUAAAAGCGUUUGGCGAGGAUGGUCUUAUAAUGGCUGAUUCAAAACAGCGGGAUAUCAUGCAGAUGCCUUGACUUUUUUGUUAACAACCACAGUGACGUUUGGAUGUCCAAGAUACUGUGUCGAUGCUGCACUCUAACUACUAGCAAGGAGAGGAGAAAAUAUUCUUCUUCCUUUGUAUGAUUACUAUCUUUAUACUCAUUUUUGCUGUUACAACAAUCUUCACCGCAAUACUCAUACUAGGCCAAGAAUCAAACAGCUUUGGUGGUUCAGUACAUAUCACUCAACUGAUCCAGCAGUCAGUACUACCUAUAGCUCGAGUCGGACUGAAUGUAAAGCAACUAACAAUCAACGAGAUAGCAAAUACUCAAAUUAUUCCGAUUUACUUUAACAUUAGCAAUUGUGAUGAUAUCAGAAAAGAAAAUUCCACAAUAUACGAGGAAGGAAUACUCACUCCAGAAGAAAAUACUCCAAUUUAUGAGCUCUACACAGAAUAUAUCGCCUCUUUGAGGUUGCAAAUUCAAUUAUCAGCAGAUUAUAAUAACAGCUCAGAUCAAGAAUGUCCAGUUGUUUUGGUAGUUUUUGACAAUGUUGAUGAAUAUAAAUCGUUUUUGAACAAUGGAAACUGGAUGUUUACCUAUAUGGAGUACUGCAUCAAGAACGAUAAUUUCUCGAUCAGUAUCAUGCUUGCAGGAAAUAGCUAUUAUUUUUUUGGUGUUCACUUUGAAGCUAACUCACAUGUCAUGGGAGACAUAACUUAUUGUAUCAAUGGUUGGAAGGAGGAAAACUCAACUAGCUCGUUCACAAGCCUUUGCUCAAUAACAUCCACAGCUACAACAGAGUGCAAUCAUAACUUUGACAGUUCUGUGAACGCACCAGAAUUGUGUAUCGUAGGAGUUGUUCCCAAACGAAAUGCUAGUGAUGUAGUAAGGAAAGUAAAAAUCCAGUAUUCGUAUUCAAUAUUGUCAUCAAUGGCAUUAUUAUUUUUGCUUGGUUUGUGGCUACUACUAAUUACAUCAUUUCUUCUGUGGCUUUUAGUGCCAAUCUUCUACAAUUGUUGUAAGAAACUGAAGUACUGUACGAAACUGAAAAAAGACUCAGAGGGAUCAGUUGUGCUUCCCAAUCGACGUGAAUUAUACAAAACUUUAGAACUGACAUUGAUAUAAAAGUAAAUUAAGAAAAAACGAAUAGAGUUGCUCCAAAAUAGAAUAUAUUUAGAUCAUUAACAUUUUAUGGAAUCUCUGUGUAUUUUUUUUAGUAUUCACGGUGUGUAUGAAUGGGUUCUGAGCGCUUUUGCGCAAGAGAAAAUAAA
Halichondria panicea is the source of this 2676-nucleotide long non-coding RNA. RefSeq lists it as uncharacterized. The transcript has 4 exons. The record is from RefSeq and is a predicted model, not a curated record. NCBI's taxonomy places the organism in Eukaryota, Metazoa, Porifera, Demospongiae, Suberitida, Halichondriidae.